CCCUUAACUAUUAAAAGUUUCGUUUUGGUCCCUUAACUUAUUUUUUGGUUUCAUUUUGGUCACUUAACUCUAAUACAUUCAUCCUGACAUAAAGGACCAAAGUGGUUGACGAGGAAGAGUUAAGGGACCAAAACGAAACCAAAAAGUAAGUUACAGGAUCAAAAUGAAACUUUUAAUAGUUAAAGGA
Molecule: microRNA precursor, 187 nt
Filed under: Medicago truncatula (barrel medic)
Lineage: Eukaryota; Viridiplantae; Streptophyta; Magnoliopsida; Fabales; Fabaceae
Description: MIR2655 microRNA precursor family
Rfam family: MIR2655 microRNA precursor family
Source: Rfam by way of RNAcentral